Molecule: ribosomal RNA, 430 nt
Filed under: Pseudomonadota bacterium
Lineage: Bacteria; Pseudomonadati; Pseudomonadota
Description: Proteobacteria bacterium partial 16S ribosomal RNA
Rfam family: Bacterial small subunit ribosomal RNA
Source: RNAcentral
UGGGGAAUAUUGGACAAUGGGCGCAAGCCUGAUCCAGCCAUGCCGCGUGUGUGAAGAAGGCCUUAUGGUUGUAAAGCACUUUAAGCGAGGAGGAGGCUACUUUAGUUAAUACCUAGAGAUAGUGGACGUUACUCGCAGAAUAAGCACCGGCUAACUCUGUGCCAGCAGCCGCGGUAAUACAGAGGGUGCGAGCGUUAAUCGGAUUUACUGGGCGUAAAGCGUGCGUAGGCGGCUAAUUAAGUCAAAUGUGAAAUCCCCGAGCUUAACUUGGGAAUUGCAUUCGAUACUGGUUAGCUAGAGUGUGGGAGAGGAUGGUAGAAUUCCAGGUGUAGCGGUGAAAUGCGUAGAGAUCUGGAGGAAUACCGAUGGCGAAGGCAGCCAUCUGGCCUAACACUGACGCUGAGGUGCGAAAGCAUGGGGAGCAAACAGG